Molecule: ribosomal RNA, 383 nt
Filed under: uncultured eukaryote
Lineage: Eukaryota
Description: partial 18S ribosomal RNA
Rfam family: Eukaryotic small subunit ribosomal RNA
Source: RNAcentral
CAAUAGCGUAUAUUAAAGUUGUUGCAGUUAAAAAGCUCGUAGUUGGAUUUCUGGUGGGAGCGAUCGGUCUGGCGCUUAGCGCGAGUACUUGCAUCGUCUCCGGCCAUCCUUGGGGAAAGUCUGUCUGGCAUUAAGUCGUCGGGCAGAGGAUCCUCAUCGUUUACUGUGAAAAAAUUAGAGUGUUCAAAGCAGGCUUAUGCCGUUGAAUAUAUUAGCAUGGAAUAAUAAGAUAGGACUUUGGUACUAUUUUGUUGGUUUGCGCACCAAAGUAAUGAUUAAUAGGGACAGUUGGGGGUAUUCGUAUUCCGUUGUCAGAGGUGAAAUUCUUGGAUUUACGGAAGACGAACUACUGCGAAAGCAUUUACCAAGGAUGUUUUCAUUAA